AUUACCUGGGGACCUUGUUAAGAUGCAAAUUCUGAUUCAGUAGGUUUGGGGCGGGCCCAAGAUUCUGCACCUUUAACAAGCCCCCAUGUAGCUGCUGU
This 98-nucleotide microRNA precursor is filed under the name Macaca fascicularis (crab-eating macaque). RNAcentral's name for it is "mir-544 microRNA precursor family". It matches the Rfam family "mir-544 microRNA precursor family". Lineage: Eukaryota; Metazoa; Chordata; Mammalia; Primates; Cercopithecidae. The record is from Rfam by way of RNAcentral. RNAcentral also lists the same sequence under 2 other names.